CCUACGGGUGGCAGCAGUGGGGAAUAUUGGACAAUGGGCGAAAGCCUGAUCCAGCCAUGCCGCGUGUGUGAAGAAGGCCUUCGGGUUGUAAAGCACUUUCAGUGGGGAAGAAAGCCUUGGGGCUAAUACCCUCGAGGAAGGACAUCACCCACAGAAGAAGCACCGGCUAACUCCGUGCCAGCAGCCGCGGUAAUACGGAGGGUGCGAGCGUUAAUCGGAAUUACUGGGCGUAAAGCGCGCGUAGGCGGUCUGAUAAGCCGGUUGUGAAAGCCCCGGGCUCAACCUGGGAACGGCAUCCGGAACUGUCAGGCUAGAGUGUAGGAGAGGAAGGUAGAAUUCCCGGUGUAGCGGUGAAAUGCGUAGAGAUCGGGAGGAAUACCAGUGGCGAAGGCGGCCUUCUGGACUGACACUGACGCUGAGGUGCGAAAGCGUGGGUAGCAAACAGGAUUAGAUACCCUAGUAGUC
Molecule: ribosomal RNA, 465 nt
Filed under: Vreelandella stevensii
Lineage: Bacteria; Pseudomonadati; Pseudomonadota; Gammaproteobacteria; Oceanospirillales; Halomonadaceae
Description: partial 16S ribosomal RNA
Rfam family: Bacterial small subunit ribosomal RNA
Source: RNAcentral